Molecule: ribosomal RNA, 423 nt
Filed under: Streptococcus anginosus
Lineage: Bacteria; Bacillati; Bacillota; Bacilli; Lactobacillales; Streptococcaceae
Description: bacterial SSU rRNA
Rfam family: Bacterial small subunit ribosomal RNA
Source: RNAcentral
UAUACCGUAGCUUGCUACACCAUAGACUGUGAGUUGCGAACGGGUGAGUAACGCGUAGGUAACCUGCCUAUUAGAGGGGGAUAACUAUUGGAAACGAUAGCUAAUACCGCAUAACAGUAUGUAACACAUGUUAGAUGCUUGAAAGAUGCAAUUGCAUCGCUAGUAGAUGGACCUGCGUUGUAUUAGCUAGUAGGUAGGGUAAAGGCCUACCUAGGCAACGAUACAUAGCCGACCUGAGAGGGUGAUCGGCCACACUGGGACUGAGACACGGCCCAGACUCCUACGGGAGGCAGCAGUAGGGAAUCUUCGGCAAUGGGGGGAACCCUGACCGAGCAACGCCGCGUGAGUGAAGAAGGUUUUCGGAUCGUAAAGCUCUGUUGUUAAGGAAGAACGAGUGUGAGAAUGGAAAGUUCAUGCUGUGAC